GACGAACGCUGGCGGCGUGCUUAACACAUGCAAGUCGAACGGAAAGGCCCUGCUUGCAGUGUACUCGAGUGGCGAACGGGUGAGUAACCCGUGGGUGAUCUGCCCUGCAUUUCGGGAUAAGCCUGGGAAACUGGGUCUAAUACCGGGAAGGUGCCAUUUUUAGUGUGAUGGCUGGAAAGUUUUUUCGGUGUAGGAUGUGCUCGCGGCCUAUCAGCUUGCUGGUGGGGUAAUGGCCUACUAAGGCGGCGACGGGUAGCCUGCCUGGGAGGGUGGACGGGCACAUUGAGACUGGGAUACGGACCAGACUCCGACGGGAGGCAGCAGUGGGGAAGAUUGCACAAUGGGAGCAAGCGUGAUGCAGCGACGCCGCGUGGGGGAUGACGGCCUUCGGGUUGUAAACGCCUUUCGCUAGGGACGAAGCUUUUUGUGACGGUACCUAGAUAAGAAGCACCGGCUAACUACGUG
This 465-nucleotide ribosomal RNA is filed under the name uncultured bacterium. RNAcentral describes it as "partial 16S ribosomal RNA". It matches the Rfam family "Bacterial small subunit ribosomal RNA", at positions 28 to 507 of the family's 1533-position model. The record is from RNAcentral.